RNAcentral lists this ribosomal RNA (960 nucleotides) under mixed culture metagenome. Its description in RNAcentral is "bacterial LSU rRNA". It matches the Rfam family "Bacterial large subunit ribosomal RNA", at positions 1954 to 2925 of the family's 2925-position model. The record is from RNAcentral.
AGGUAGCGAAAUUCCUUGUCGGGUAAGUUCCGACCUGCACGAAUGGCGUAACGAUCUCCCCGCUGUCUCAAACGUGGACUCAGCGAAAUUGAAUUGUCUGUGAAGAUGCAGACUUCCCGCGGUUAGACGGAAAGACCCCAUGCACCUUUACUAUAGCUUCGCACUGGCAUCAGGAUUGUGAUGUGCAGGAUAGGUGGUAGGCGCUGAAACCGGGACGCCAGUUCCGGUGGAGCCAUCCUUGAGAUACCACCCUUCGCACUCUUGAUGUCUAACCGCGGCCCGUUAUCCGGGUCCGGGACCCUGCGUGGUGGGUAGUUUGACUGGGGCGGUCGCCUCCCAAAGAGUAACGGAGGCGCGCGAAGGUUGGCUCAGAGCGGUCGGAAAUCGCUCGUUGAGUGCAAUGGCAGAAGCCAGCCUGACUGCAAGACUGACACGUCGAGCAGAGUCGAAAGACGGCCAUAGUGAUCCGGUGGUCCCGAGUGGAAGGGCCAUCGCUCAACGGAUAAAAGGUACGCUGGGGAUAACAGGCUGAUGAUGCCCAAGAGUCCAUAUCGACGGCAUCGUUUGGCACCUCGAUGUCGGCUCAUCUCAUCCUGGGGCUGGAGCAGGUCCCAAGGGUAUGGCUGUUCGCCAUUUAAAGAGGUACGUGAGCUGGGUUUAGAACGUCGUGAGACAGUUCGGUCCCUAUCUGCCGUGGGUGUAGGAUACUUGAGAGGAGUUGCCCCUAGUACGAGAGGACCGGGGUGAACGUUCCACUGGUGGACCAGUUGUCGUGCCAACGGCAGUGCUGGGUAGCUAUGAACGGACAGGAUAAACGCUGAAGGCAUCUAAGCGUGAAGCCCCCCUCAAAACAAGGUAUCCCUUGAGAGCCGUGGAAGACCACCACGUCGAUAGGCCGGAGAUGUACGCGCAGCAAUGCGUUCAGUUGACCGGUACUAAUGGCUCGAUUGGCUUGAUUUG